ACCCCCACCCCCCGAGGCAGCUUGGAGCCAAAGCAAGGCCUGGGAGCUGUGUCCUCAGCUCGGCUCCGGAACCACAGCAGAAGAGUGAUUCACUGCCUCUUGUUCCUUCUGCUCCAUCCCUCCACUCUCAUUCAUCAAGUUGUUUCUUCCACCUGAAAAUUAUAGAAUUAAGUCUGCAAAGCAUAAAGGGAAGCAUUUGCUCUCAAGAUUCUUUAUUUUUUAAAGUUUUACUGGAGUAUAGUGGAUUUAUGAUGUUGCGAUAAUUGCUGUUGUAGAAUAAAGUGAUUCAAUUAUACAUAUACACACAUGUGUUCUUUUUCAGAUUCUUUUCCCAUAUACACCAUCACAGAAUAUUGGAUAGAGUUCUCUGUGCAAUAAAGCACGUCCCUGUUGGCCAAUCAAUUCUAAAAGAGGUAAUUCAAUUCUUAGCCAUCAACACAGUAUGGAACAUUUUGCUAAAACAGUAGAGUCUAGGCUGUAAUCCCAAGGAGAAUAGCUGUCUCUGCAUGUUUCAAAGCAUCUGGUACGGUGCUUCGCAUACAGAAGAGCAAAGGGCCAGGAUUUCUAGAGUAGAGCUUUGGAAAAAUCCAUCAUGCAAGAGCCCAUUGUCACGCUACAGGAUUUAAUCUUCAUUUAAGAUCACAUGUUAUCAGAGACUGCUGAGGAGAGAAGUACACAGUACUAUGAGAAGCAAGUUGUUACUAUCCAUUUUUCUAUGGUGGAAUGUCAGAGACAGACACCUCGGUGGCUUGUCCCAAGUAACACAAUGACUUGGUAGCAUUCAGAAAGAACUCCCUUCUCAAAUCCUGCUGGUAGAGAGAACCUCGUUUUAUUUUUCUGGAACAAAGCUAAGAAAUACAUACGGUUACUGAGUUGAACAAAAUAGAAUCAUAAAUAAAUUAGUUGCAUUUUGCUGUCCCUGUCUGAGAAAAUGUGAAAAAGCAUUUUCCUUUCUAUCUGAAAGGACAUCUAAAAGGAACCAGACCACAUAAUGACACUGAGACGUCUGUACCUGAAGUAAAAUGAAUCACAGUGGAAAAGGAUGAUGUCUGCCAGGAGGCUUGGGAUAUUGUUUUCAUUAUCCAGUUAUUUUCUAUGUAAAAGCCACUCGUGUCUUAGAAUGGACCUUGUCAUCUGAAAAGCACUUCGUCUUCUUAUACUUGCAAAGAUUUAAGUGGAAAUUGUUGCUUUUGGGAAAGAGCCAUAAGGAGAGAUUUGACUGCCUUUAAAAGCCUUGAUCCAUUUGCCUCCUAAUACCAGUCUCUCUGCUGAAUUAGACACUGGAAAAGAUGAUGAUGCAGUACAGCACCAGAGUUCAAGCAAAACAGUUCUGAUGCUCUGAUUUUACAUCCUGAGGAGUGAGAAUUUGAUGGGUCCAGUUAGUCAAGGGUGCCACAGAGUAACCAGUAUGAAAACAAUAUCCUGCAUCCUACCUGCUGUGGCUUCAGAGGAUCAGAAGAUGAUGUUAUAAUUGAGUGACGUCUGCUUCACAGCAUUACCCGUAAGACGAAGCCAUUUAGCUCCACCAGAAAUAUGAAACAUGCUGAGGUGAGAAUUGAAUUCACUUUUAAUAGACACACUUGUGUUAACAGAGGCAAACUAAAUUAGAAAUAGGAGAUGUCAAUGCAAAAGAAAUUUGAUCUUGGAAUCUGGUUAUGAGUGAUGACCUACUUUGUGGGGGUUCUUCAUUUUUGAUUUCCAGAAUCCGUGUGUUUCCCUCAGCACAUGAGCCUUCCAUCUUGUAGGCCAUAUGGUGCUCUUUUGGAAUGACUUUCAUUUGAUUUUCUCCCUUAUUUAGAAAUAUUUAUUUUAUUUUUGCUCUGUCAGGAAAGGAUGAGGUCCUUGAGGAAUGGUCUUUUGUCGAAAGGCUCCUCUUGCUAGUAUUCAACUUUGGUGAUUCCACUAGGACUCUUACCAGACAAGUUUAAAAACAAAACAAAAUAAAACAAAACAAAGAACCUGGAAUAAAAAUCAAAAUCUGGAAAAAAAUCAAAAAUUAAAAAAACAAAAAAAUGGAAAAAGAAAAAACAAAAGCAAAAACAAAAAGUGUAACCCUAUUGGUGAAGUUUGGAAAAUAAAUUUAUAUAACUUAUUUAGAUGAAAUGAAUUAAAAUAAUUCACUCUUCAUUUGGGUCAGGGCAUCAAUAAUCAUGUGAAAAAUUCACAGAUUUCUUUUGUGUGGUGGUGGAAAUGGGCAAGCAGCAAGGUAUGUCAGGGAUUAGGGAUGAGAGAAUAUAAGCAUUGGGGAUGGGAGAAUAUAACCUCCUGGAAAGUUAUGGAACUGCAUCCCUCAGGGCCGCAUAAGGGUGCCUGACAGUGUCACCCAAGUCUUGAGUGGGUCAGCAGUAAAGAUGAGGGAAAAUGACAAACUGCUUUUUCCAAGGACAAAGCCAAAUGAAAGGUGGAAGUUAACUAUCUGUCAGUAUUAAAAGAUGCCAAUGGGACAGCAGGAGCGAAUCAACAUUAAUUAAGCACAAUUAAGGAGUGGAACUCACUGUACCAAAACAGAACCUGGUCCCUUCCCAGAAAGCCUGCACCUCCCCCCGUUUUCCAUCCUUCUUCCCUUUUGGAUGCAACACUCCGUUGAUGGCAAGGCUGGGCAGAAACUUGCCGCUCUGUUUCAUUCUGUCAGGAUGCCUCCACUUCUGUGUCACCUGUUAUAUUUGCUUAGGACAUUGCCACUGUUGCAUCUGCCGCAGAAAUUCACACUUGGUGAAACUUCUGCUUGGGAAAUAGUUUGUCAGUAGAAGUGAAGACAUAAUCAUUAUCUAUGGGUGACACCUUUGCUCAUGCUUAGUAUUUCAGGUUAGUGGGAGACCAUUCCCAGUUGAUGUUUUGGUAUCACCUGCACAGAGCCAGACAGCCUUUAAGCCAGUUUCAACAUGCUGUUUCACUCAAAGAAAUACAAGUCUGGAAUCUAGAAUAAUUGAAAAGCAAUAUAAAUCUCUACUGCAAUGGCUGAAUCCAGUCUAUCUCUCUCCUUAAUGGACAAAUUUCUUGAAAGAAUGAUGCCAUUCAAUACUUAUUAUUUCUUCUUUCUCACCUCUAAUUUGUUAUUUAGUCCCACGUCACCAUGCCUCUGCUACACUAGGUAAUCCUCCAAGUCACCAAGCAUUUUCUAAGUAACAAAUACAUUAACCCUUCUUGCUCCUUUCUCUUACUUGACUUCUCUAUGUCAUGAAUCAUUGAUUUUGUCUCCUAGGUCCUUUCCUGUCUCACUGUACCUGGUCUCCCUGCGUGAUGGCAUUAGGGUGAUAUCAUGACCCAGAUGACAUCCAGGGUUGUGGUUCUUUCAAGGUCCCCAGUCAGAUCUCAACACUCCAUUGAGUCUCUAUCUCUCUGAGAGGGUGUCACACAAGUAUCUUAGAUUCAAAAUGUCCAAAAGGACCAGUCAGUCACCUCUCCUUUUGAAUCUUUUCUUUCAUCUUGGUUUUCCAUAUUGAUGACUAAUAAUGCCAUUAUCCCACAUUCUAAACUAGAAAAGCCAUUCUACUUUCUUUUGCUUCCUAUUCCUAAUUAUUUGUCAAAUGUAUGUUGUUUCUGACAAACAAACAAAAAAAAAAACCCUGUAUAACAUGUUCUGUAGCUUUUCCUUUUAAAUUCAAUUGUUCUUAGUAUGAAACAAUAGUUGUCUGCCUCUUUCAAUUCUCAGCAAGUUCUCAACAGCUACAGUAGGUGGGACUCUUAAUGGCUAUAUUUCUGCUAGCCAAACCCAUCUACAGAUUAUGAAGUAUUGAUCCAAGCUGGACCAAUCAGAUAUUUUCCUCUAGAAAUCUGAGUUGUCUGUUCUUGAAUAGAGGGACAGAGUGACCAAGAGAUGGUAGAACUGAUGUAUGUUAAUGACAUUAAAUAGACUGCCCUCGACUCCUGCAGCUCCCCUGGAUCUGUCCAUACCUUAGUUGUUUAAUAAUUUCUUCAAUGACAUGAGAUAAGACAAAAUUUUGCAAUAAACACAUUUUUUUUGGUUAAUGUUGGCCAAUUUGUUCAUAUUGCUGGAAACCAUGACAUUCUUAAACUAUGCCCUGAGUUCUCUACCCAAUGGAGUUGUCUUUCAGAAAUACAAGGCUGGUCUUAUUUCUCUUCUUAAUUAUUUCAGAGAAAAGACAACCUACAGAUCAGAAGAAAACAUUUGUAAAUGAUGUUACCAAUAAGGGCUUAAUUUCUGAAUUAUACAAACAGCUCAUACAGCUUAAUGUAAAAACAAAAAACAAAAAAAAAAACACAACCUAAUCCAAAAAUGAGCAUAAGAACUAAACAUUUUUCUAAAGCAGAUAUAGAAAUGGCCAAUAGGCACAUGACAAGAUGCACAGUAUCACUAAUUAUUAGAGAAGUGCAGAUAAAAACUACAAUUCCACCUCAUACUGGUCAGA
Sus scrofa (pig) is the source of this 4370-nucleotide non-coding RNA. The record is from RefSeq and is a predicted model, not a curated record. NCBI's taxonomy places the organism in Eukaryota, Metazoa, Chordata, Mammalia, Artiodactyla, Suidae.